AGCUUUGUGCAAUGGCAAUAUUUUAGCCAGUGAGGUUUAUCUGAGGCAUGAUUAUUGCUAAUUGAAAACUUUUCACAAUACCCUGCCAUGACGCCUUGAAAUAUAGUCGGCAUUGACGAUUUUUGACAGUCUCUAUGGAGA
Molecule: small nuclear RNA, 141 nt
Organism: Cercocebus atys (sooty mangabey)
Lineage: Eukaryota; Metazoa; Chordata; Mammalia; Primates; Cercopithecidae
Gene: U4
Rfam family: U4 spliceosomal RNA
About the family: U4 small nuclear RNA (U4 snRNA) is a component of the major U2-dependent spliceosome. The structure of U4 snRNA from yeast and human has been reported.
Source: Ensembl